CCUACGGGUGGCAGCAGUGAGGAAUAUUGGUCAAUGGACGAGAGGCUGAACCAGCCAAGUAGCGUGAAGGAUGACUGCCCUAUGGGUUGUAAACUUCUUUUAUGAAGGAAUAAAACGAGGCACGUGUGCCUUUUUGCAGGUACUUUAUGAAUAAGGAUCGGCUAAAUCCGUGCCAGCAGCCGCGGUAAUACGGAGGAUCCGAGCGUUAUCCGGAUUUAUUGGGUUUAAAGGGAGCGUAGAUGGGUUGUUAAGUCAGUUGUGAAAGUUUGCGGCUCAACCGUAAAAUUGCAAUUGAUACUGGCAGCCUUGAGUACAGUUGAGGUAAGCGGAAUUCGUGGUGUAGCGGUGAAAUGCUUAGAUAUCACGAAGAACCCCGAUUGCGAAGGCAGCUUACUAAACUGUGACUGACACUGAUGCUCGAAAGUGUGGGUAUCAAACAGGAUUAGAUACCCGAGUAGUC
RNAcentral lists this ribosomal RNA (460 nucleotides) under uncultured bacterium. Its description in RNAcentral is "partial 16S ribosomal RNA". It matches the Rfam family "Bacterial small subunit ribosomal RNA", at positions 338 to 795 of the family's 1533-position model. The record is from RNAcentral.